Molecule: ribosomal RNA, 465 nt
Filed under: Vreelandella stevensii
Lineage: Bacteria; Pseudomonadati; Pseudomonadota; Gammaproteobacteria; Oceanospirillales; Halomonadaceae
Description: partial 16S ribosomal RNA
Rfam family: Bacterial small subunit ribosomal RNA
Source: RNAcentral
CCUACGGGUGGCAGCAGUGGGGAAUAUUGGACAAUGGGGGCAACCCUGAUCCAGCCAUGCCGCGUGUGUGAAGAAGGCCCUCGGGUUGUAAAGCACUUUCAGUGAGGAAGAACGCCUGGUGGUUAAUACCCAUCAGGAAAGACAUCACUCACAGAAGAAGCACCGGCUAACUCCGUGCCAGCAGCCGCGGUAAUACGGAGGGUGCGAGCGUUAAUCGGAAUUACUGGGCGUAAAGCGCGCGUAGGUGGCUUGAUAAGCCGGUUGUGAAAGCCCCGGGCUCAACCUGGGAACGGCAUCCGGAACUGUCAAGCUAGAGUGCAGGAGAGGAAGGUAGAAUUCCCGGUGUAGCGGUGAAAUGCGUAGAGAUCGGGAGGAAUACCAGUGGCGAAGGCGGCCUUCUGGACCGACACUGACACUGAGGUGCGAAAGCGUGGGUAGCAAACAGGAUUAGAUACCCGAGUAGUC